UUAAAUUGUAGUCUUAGGCGUUUGAGCCCACGACUAUCCCAAAACCAGAGUCCAAAAACAAAGCCAUGAUAAAAACUGUAAAUAGGAUUAGGGUUUCUUCUUCUCCCUUUAUAAAGUGUCAAAUCUAGCAAAGUGCCUCCGCCAUUGGAUCUCUCAGUUCAGUUUGCAGAAACAAAAAAGGGAGGCUUUUAGAGUAAGAAAGAGGAAGCUUUCUUUACUAUCGAAGAAAUAACCCAUUUUCGGUGCCGAUAUCUCUCCCUUCUCGAAGGAUAAUGCCCAACCCUUGCAAUCAAUUGAAGGUGAUGAAAAGCAAGAAGAUACAUCCGUAAUGGUGGUAAUGAUGAGCGA
Long non-coding RNA from Gossypium raimondii (Peruvian cotton), 348 nucleotides. RefSeq lists it as uncharacterized. The transcript is spliced from 3 exons. The record is from RefSeq and is a predicted model, not a curated record. Lineage: Eukaryota; Viridiplantae; Streptophyta; Magnoliopsida; Malvales; Malvaceae.